Acyrthosiphon pisum (pea aphid) is the source of this 3208-nucleotide long non-coding RNA. RefSeq lists it as uncharacterized. NCBI's taxonomy places the organism in Eukaryota, Metazoa, Arthropoda, Insecta, Hemiptera, Aphididae. The transcript has 2 exons. The record is from RefSeq and is a predicted model, not a curated record.
UUAAGUAAAAUAAAUUAGAAUAUAUUGCUUUUCAUUCAUGAGCUUUUUCAGCUGUCUAAUUUUCUAUAUAAUAGCGAAUUGAUGCUAAACAUAGAAAAUGGAUAGCAAAUUAGUUUAUGUCAUAAUCUACUUAAUAAAUCCUGAUUUUAAUGUUCUACAUAGCUUACAUUUUGCAGACAAUCUUUUCCUGUUGUGAUUAGUUUUUAUUAUAAGUGGACUCAUAUUAUCUGUUUUUUGUUUACACUUUAAGCAAUAUAGUUUGUUCAUUUAUAGGGAAAAUAAUUGUUUGAAUUUAAUUAAAUUGAUAAAUUACGUCGUUAAAUUAUUACUUUUAAAAUAGUCGUUAAAAUAUUACUUUUAAAAUAAUCGUUAAAAUAUUACUCGGUACACCACUAUCAAAGAGAUAACCAUGGAAUAUAACAAAAUUGGAACUUGUUGCUGUUAUGAUAACAAUAUCCUGCGGAAAACGCCUACUUUCGAGUUUAUAACAAUGAUAACGAAAUUUCCGGUUCAUAAAACGUGCCUGUUACAUCAAAAAUGUUAUAAUAAUUUACAUUCGAUUUAAAAAUUUUUUCAAUAAUUGUAAAUAUUUCUUUUGACCAAUUUGUCUUUAACUUAUUUCUAUAAACAUCAAUUAUUGAAGAUAAUCUUACUCUAUCAUUUACUUCAAAUUUCGGUUUGGAAUUGCAAAUAUCAUAAUUAUAAACAGUGGAAAGUAGUUCUUUCUCGUUUUUCUUACUUACAUCAGCAGGUUUCAUUUUUAUUGUUCUAUGAUACUAAGCAAAUAUAACAAAUAGUAUUGGCAGGCACAUCUUCACUGAAAUCUGCAUUUAAGACAAUACUUGUUUUAGAUCCGGAGAUCUGUGGUGGUUGCCUGCUCAUAUCAAUCACAAAAAAUGGUCUGGUAUUUUUAAACUGUGCUGGAGUUAUAUACAUCAAAGAUAAAUCUCUAUGUACUCUAUUAUAAACAUUCUUAUAACUCAUUAACAUAUCAUAAGCCUUAUUAAAUUUUCCUUUACUAAAGUCUAGUUUUAAUAAUCGUGUUGGAUACCUCCCACCAUCAAUAUCCAACCAAAUAUUUGUUAAAUUACAAUGACUAAACUCUAUUGGAUCUGUCAAUUGGUUAUUUAGUCUACCUGUUUGAAAAGCUAUGAUAGCAAAUAAAGGAUUAUUAAUAUUUCUAUACAGAUUUGUUAUAUCUUUGGUUAGUGAAUUACCAGUAAUAUUUUUUACUUGAAUACAUUGCCAUGAUUUAAAUCUAAAUUUAUAUUCAUUUCUCUUGGAUAAUGAAACUAAAUCAUUUAUCAAUUUAAAUUUAUGCGCGUCUUUAUAAGUCACAAUUGGUAUACUAAUAAGAAACUCAUUAAUAACAAUUUUUCCUUUUCCAGGUACCACAUCUGUUUUAUCAUUUUUGUCUCUAAAUAAAGCAUCAUCGUCAGUAUGUCUUAAAAAAUCUAUUUCAAAACCUCCUUUAUAUACUGGGCAUUCUAUAUCUUUAAAAAAUCCUAAACACAAAUUAGAUAAUUUGCCAAUAGCACUAAAAUAACCACCGCCACUAAAUGUUGAUUGAAAUCCAUUAUUUAUUGUUGGUCCACUUAGGUCUGCAGAAUAACUAACCGUACCUUUAAUUAAACUACACCUACCAACAUUAUCAAUUUUAUCUAAUUCUUUACAAUGUUUUUUAACGCAAAUUGACUGAAACAAAAAUCGAGGAAAAUUAUCAACUAAUAUUACAUUUGAUCCUUUAGGAUAAUUAGUACCAUCUUCUUGUAAAACUUGACCAAAAAUUUCAAAUUUUGCUUUUUUAACAUUUAAGAAACUAUCUUCUUCUUUUAUAUUAAAAGUAGUAAUUUGACUAGGAAUAUUAAGAUUUGCUAUGUCUAAAGGGAAAAAUUCCUUUUCCUGUUCACUGAUAAUAGCAUGGUCAUAUUGUGCAAAUAUAUUUUCCAUUUAUAAGGAAAAAAAAUGUAAUAAAAUAUCAUGCAACCUUUCUAAGUGAAAUUUACUUGAUAAAUGUUUCUUAUGGUAUCUUAAAUGCAUUAUUUUACCACAUUCACAUACUACUUUUUCAAUAUUACAACUUCUACACCAUUUUUGGUUUUUACUAAACUCAGUUAUACUCUUGUAAAUUUUACAUUUUAAACAUAAAAAUACAUAACCUGCUUUCAAUGAUUGCAAUAAUGCCUCCUCAUAAAGAUAGCCAAUAAUAUUAUUUCGAUUCAUUUUUAUAUUUAUUUAUAUACAAAUUUAAUUUAUAAUUUUUUUAGUUUUUCAGGUUCAGUUCAUAAUUCAAAUCAUAAUUCUUAAUAAAAUCUAAACAUAAAUAACCACAUAUAGGUGGGUCAGUAUAAGUUUGUAAUUGUUCAGUGGUGUAAUAUAAAUCAUCUUUUCCUAAAUAAUUUACAAUUUCAUCAACCGGAGAGGAAUCCCCAAAUGAGUCAAAAUAUACCUUAUUAUUACCAUUUUUUAUCCAUGCAACCCAAUGUGAACCAGAUUGAUUAGAAUUAUUUAAAUUUAAUAUUCCACACUCAUUUUUCCAAGGCACUACUGGUAACUCAUCUUUCAUAAAACAACCUCUAAAAUUCUUAAUAUUUUUUCCUACUUUAAUAAUAUCAAAAUUAGUUAAUGGCUUUAUUUGUUUUUUUUGUUUUUUUGUUUUUUUUUAAGACCUGAACCAAUCUGUAAAGUCUUAAUAUUUCUAACAUUUUCUUCCAUCAUUUUAUUAUGUCUUUCUGCCUCAUCUCGUUUCAAUUUCUUAUCUUUUGCAUCAAUAACAGUAUUUGCAAUAGCACUAGCACCUCCGACCAAUGCACUAAGAGCACCUAUACCUGCUAUGAUAAGAGGUAAAAAACCACCUACUUUAUCUUUAUUUCCAAAUUGAGAUUUUGUAAUUUUUAAUCUCACCCCCUUUUUAUCUUUUUUAGCUUUAGUUAACUUAUUAUUUUGUCUAUCAGUUAAAUUAAAUUUGUUUUUUCCAUUACCAAUCUGUGUAUGCUUUAAUUGAAUAACUACAUCAUUUUUGUUUUUAUAAGCUUUUACAAGCUUUUCUAUUUGAGAAUCACUUAAAUCUAAAUUCAUUUAAUAGAAAUAAAAUUCAUUAAAAAAGUUAUUAAAUCAAGUUAAAUUCAUACCUAAAUACCUUUUUGCUUUCAUUGCAUUUGUAGUAACAUACGCAGCUGUUUUUUCACCUAUAGAUGCAUCUGGGGCU